AUACUCUGGUUUCUCUUUAGAUCGUAUAAAAAUCUUUUUCCUUAUGCUAAAGAUUUCUUUGGCAAGGAACAACUCUGAGUCUUAAGCCAAUUUUUUUAGGCCUUGUUUCUGUAAGGCU
This is a small nuclear RNA of Otolemur garnettii (small-eared galago), 118 nucleotides long. Its record names the gene U5. It matches the Rfam family "U5 spliceosomal RNA". Rfam says of the family: U5 RNA is a component of both types of known spliceosome. NCBI's taxonomy places the organism in Eukaryota, Metazoa, Chordata, Mammalia, Primates, Galagidae. The record is from Ensembl.